This 629-nucleotide ribosomal RNA is filed under the name uncultured bacterium. RNAcentral's name for it is "bacterial SSU rRNA". The stretch from base 1 to 532 matches the Rfam family "Bacterial small subunit ribosomal RNA", at positions 338 to 873 of the family's 1533-position model. The record is from RNAcentral.
CCUACGGGAGGCAGCAGUGAGGAAUAUUGGACAAUGGGCGCAAGCCUGAUCCAGCCAUGCCGCGUGCAGGAAGACGGUCCUAUGGAUUGUAAACUGCUUUUAUACAGGAAGAAACACCUCUACGUGUAGAGACUUGACGGUACUGUAUGAAUAAGCAUCGGCUAACUCCGUGCCAGCAGCCGCGGUAAUACGGAGGAUGCAAGCGUUAUCCGGAAUCAUUGGGUUUAAAGGGUCCGUAGGCGGUUUAAUAAGUCAGUGGUGAAAGCCCAUCGCUCAACGAUGGAACGGCCAUUGAUACUGUUAAACUUGAAUUAUUAGGAAGUAACUAGAAUAUGUAGUGUAGCGGUGAAAUGCUUAGAGAUUACAUGGAAUACCAAUUGCGAAGGCAGGUUACUACUAAUAUAUUGACGCUGAUGGACGAAAGCGUGGGGAGCGAACAGGAUUAGAUACCCUGGUAGUCCACGCCGUAAACGAUGGAUACUAGCUGUUCGGAGCAAUNUNGUGNGAGAGAAGAGAGUAAGUAGUACCGACCGUCGGGUAGGUACGUUCGUUCGAAGAAGUUAGAACGUUACGAAGUUAGAGUUAGACGGCGNGAGACGAGCGACGGACGACGACGAGGGAGGUAGGAG